RNAcentral lists this transfer RNA (72 nucleotides) under Ornithorhynchus anatinus (platypus). It matches the Rfam family "tRNA". Rfam says of the family: Transfer RNA (tRNA) molecules are approximately 80 nucleotides in length. Lineage: Eukaryota; Metazoa; Chordata; Mammalia; Monotremata; Ornithorhynchidae. The record is from Rfam by way of RNAcentral.
AGCAGUGUGGCUCAGUGGAAAGAGCACGGGCUUGGGAGUCAGAGGUCACGGGUUCGAAUCCCGGCUCCGCCA